This is an RNA transcript of Capra hircus (goat), 4887 nucleotides long. It is a transcript of the gene named patatin like phospholipase domain containing 7, with no coding region annotated. The record is from RefSeq and is a predicted model, not a curated record. NCBI's taxonomy places the organism in Eukaryota, Metazoa, Chordata, Mammalia, Artiodactyla, Bovidae. The transcript has 36 exons.
UCGGGGAGGCGGGACGGGAGCGCGCGGUGCCGGUGGGUCGCCGCCUAGCGCCGCGAAGUUGCCGGCUUAGGGGUCUGAGUCUGUGAGGAGAGGUAGCCAUCGUCUCCCCCAGCCCGCGCCGCGACGACACUGCCCCCCAGGGCCGCCGGCGCCCCCAGCCCGACGUCCGUCAUCUCGACCCCCGCUUAACUCGACGCCUCCCAACCCCGACGCCCCUCAGCUGGACGCCCCUAAACCCGAUGCCCCCAGCCCGGGUGCUCCUCAACCCGACACCCCUAAACCGAGUGCCCCCUCCACCAGACGCCCCCCCAACCUGAGAGCCUUCAACCGGACGGCCCCUUACCCCCUACCCUCCAACCCUGCGCCCUCCCUUAACCACGCCCUCCCUCCGCUCCCUGCCUUCAGCCCCGCUGCCCCCGGCUCCCCAGUUCUCCUGGACUUGACCAGCUUCCCUCUGGCCCCACGCUGUGGAGCAAGCGGAGCAGCUGAAGGCGCUUCCGUCGUGUGGCAGCCAUGGAGCAAGAGGAGGACACUGGCCCAGAGGUGGGCUUCCAUCUGGCCGCCCUAUGGUCCUGGGGUCUGGAGCUGAUGGAGCAGCAUUCCCAGUCCACCAUGCUGCUGGGGAUUGUGAUUGGAGUCUUCCUGGCCCUGGCCCUCAUCGGCACCACCAUCUUUUUUGUGUACAGAAGGGUUAGCCAAUUCCGACAGGUGCAGCCCAGUCCUCAGUACAGGUUCCGGAAGAGAGACAAGGUGAUGUUCUACGGCAGGAAGAUCAUGAGGAAGGUGACCACACUUCCCCACACACUUGUGGGGAACACAGCUGCCCCCCGGCAGCGGGUGAGGAAGAGGACCAAGGUGCUGUCUUUGGCCAAGAGGAUCCUGCGGUUCAAGAAGGAAUAUCCUACCUUGCAGCCAAAGGAGCCCCCGCCCUCCCUGCUGGAGGCUGACCUCACAGAGUUUGAUGUGAAGAAUUCUCACCUGCCGUCAGAAGUUCUGUACAUGCUGAAAAAUGUCCGGGUCCUGGGUCACUUUGAGAAGCCGCUAUUCCUGGAACUUUGCAAACACAUGGUCUUUGUGCAGCUUCUGGAAGGCGAGUACAUCUUCCGGCCGGGGGAGCUGGACAACAGCAUCUAUGUGGUGCAGGAUGGGCGGCUGGAGGUCCGCGUCCAGGACUCGGCGCAGGACGGCACUGAGGUGACGGUCAAAGAGGUUCUGGCUGGAGACAGCGUCCACAGCCUCCUCAGCAUCCUGGACGUCAUCACCGGCCAUGCCGCACCGUACAGAACGGUGUCCGCCCGCGCUGCUGUCCCCUCCACCAUCCUCCGGCUCCCGGCUACGGCGUUUCAAGGAGUUUUUGAGAGAUAUCCUGAAACUCUGGUGAGGGUGGUGCAGAUCAUCAUGGUGCGGCUGCAGAGGGUCACCUUUCUGGCUCUGCACAACUACCUGGGCCUGACCACGGAGCUCUUCAACCCCGAGAGCCAGGCCAUCCCGCUCGUGUCUGUGGCCAGCGUGACUGCCGGGAAGGCCAAGAAGCCGACGUGCUGCAGUCUGGAGGAGAGGCUGGAGAGGCCACCUCGGUCCCAGGAGCCCUGCGGCCCAGAUCCUGGGGGCAGCCGCGCCGCAGUCUGUGGGCCUCUGCCCAAGAGGAGCCACCCCGUCCUGCUGCCUUCUGUCCACGAAGAGGUGGCGGCCAAGCUCAGCCAGGCCCAGGCUGGCAUCCAGGCCUCUUCGGCUCCUGCAGGUGCCACCUCAGACCUGAGGAUGGUGUGUGACCGAGCCCGGGUCCUGCCGCCCACAGAAGAGCGCCCCGGUGGCGCGGUGGCCAGCAAGUCCAAGAAGAAUGUGGUUGCAGAGACCCCAUCGGCUGUCCUCCCCAACUUGGACGGUACCUUGGAUGAGUCUGUUGCCAGCAAGAAGACAGACUCCAUCCUCAGAGCUGCCACACAGGACCUGCUCACCCUGAUGAAGCUGGAUGACCCUUCGCUGUUGGAUGGCCGGGUGGCGCUGCUCCAUGUCCCAGGGGGCACGGUGGUGUUGAAGCAGGGAGACCAGGACACGAGCAUCCUCUUCGUGGUCUCGGGGCUGCUGCACGUGUACCAGCGGAAGAUUGACAGCGAGGAGGACACGUUCCUGUUCAUGGCACGGCCUGGCGAGAUGGUGGGCCAGCUGGCGGUGCUCACGGGCGAGCCCCUCAUCUUCACCAUCAAGGCCAACCGGGACUGCAGCUUCCUGUCCAUCUCCAAGGCGCACUUCUACGACAUCAUGCGGAGGCAGCCGGCCGUGGUCCUGAGUGUGGCGCACACCGUGGUGAGGCGGGUGUCCUCCUUCGUGCGGCAGAUCGACUUCGCCCUGGACUGGAUGGAGGUGGAGGCCGGCCGCGCCAUAUACAGGCAGGGGGACAAGUCCGACUGCACCUACAUCGUGCUCAGCGGCCGCCUGCGCGCUGUGAUCCAGAAGGACGACGGCAAGAAGCGCCUGGCGGGCGAGUACGGCCGUGGAGACCUCGUGGGCGUGGUGGAGACGCUCACCCGCCAGGCCAGGGCAACCACAGUGCAUGCUAUUCGGGACUCAGAGCUGGCCAAGCUUCCUGAAGGGGCCCUGAACUCCAUCAAGCGCCAGUACCCGCAGGUUGUGACUCGACUGAUUCGCCUCUUGGGUGAGAAGAUCUUGGGUAGCCUCCAGCAGGGAGCUGCGGCAGGUCACCAGUUUGGGUUCCACACUGUGGGCAGCAAGUGGGACUCGGGGAACCCUGCCAGCAACCUUUCCACAGUGGCCGUCCUGCCGGUGUCGGAGGACGUGCCCCUCACUGCCUUCACCCUGGAGCUCAGGCAUGCCCUCAGCGCUAUCGGCCCUGCCCUGCUGCUGACCAGUGACAGCAUGAAACAGCGCCUUGGCUCCGCUGCUCUGGACAGUAUCCACGAGUACCGGCUGUCCAGCUGGCUGGGGCAGCAGGAGGACAUCCACCGGAUCGUGCUCUACCAGGCGGACGGCACGCUCACGCCCUGGACCCAGUGCUGCAUCCGGCAAGCGGACUGCAUCCUCGUCGUGGGCCUGGGCGAGCGGGAGCCCGGGGUCGGCGAGCUGGAGCGGAUGCUGGAGACUUCGGCCGUGCGCGCCCAGAAGCAGCUGGCACUGCUGCACCGGCAGGACGGGCCCGCGCCGGCCCGCACCGCGGAGUGGCUCAACAUGCGGGGCUGGUGCUCCGGCCACCUGCACCUCUGCUGCCCUCGCCGAGUCUUCUCCAGGAGGAGCCUGCCCAAGCUGGUGGAGCUGUACGAGCGGGUCUGCCAGAGGCCCCCGGACCGGCACUCGGACUUCUCCCGCCUGGCGAGGGUGCUGACCGGCAAUGCCGUCGCCUUGGUCCUUGGGGGAGGGGGAGCAAGGGGCUGCGCGCAGGUGGGUGUCAUCCGGGCCCUGACGGAGUGCGGCAUCCCGGUGGACAUGGUCGGAGGGACGUCCAUCGGGGCCUUCAUGGGCGCCCUGUACUCGGAGGAACGCAGCUACAGCCAGAUCCGCAUCCGGGCCAAGCAGUGGGCGGAGGACAUGAUGUCGAUGGUGAGGACCAUGCUGGACCUGACCUACCCCAUCACUUCCAUGUUCUCGGGGGCUGGCUUCAACAGCAGCAUCUCCAGCGUCUUCAAGGACAGGCAGAUUGAGGACCUGUGGAUCCCGUACUUCGCCGUCACCACAGACAUCUCCGCCUCGGCCAUGCGGGUCCACACGGACGGAUCGCUGUGGAGGUACGUGCGUGCCAGCAUGUCCCUGUCGGGUUACAUGCCUCCACUCUGCGACCCCAAAGACGGGCACCUGCUGAUGGACGGGGGCUACGUCAACAACCUCCCAGCGGAUGUGGCCAGGUCGAUGGGGGCAAAGGUGGUGAUCGCCAUUGAUGUGGGCAGCCGGGAUGAGACAGACCUCACCAACUACGGGGACGCGCUCUCGGGCUGGUGGCUCCUGUGGAAGCGCUGGAAUCCCUUGGCCACGAAGGUCAAGGUGCUGAACAUGGCUGAGAUCCAGACACGCCUGGCCUACGUGUGCUGUGUCCGGCAGCUGGAGAUGGUGAAGAGCAGCGAGUACUGCGAGUACCUGCGCCCCCCGAUAGACGGCUACGGCACCCUGGAGUUCAGCAAGUUUGAUGAGAUCUGCGAGGUGGGGUACCAGCACGGCCGGACAGUGUUUGACAUCUGGGGUCGCAGCGGCGUGUUGGAGAAGAUGCUGCAGGACCGGCAGGGGACGAGCAAGACGAAGGCGAGCGACGCAGGGUCGCAGAGAGGGCGGGUGCAGUCAGGAGCAGGGCAGAUGGCCUCUUCGCCUCCACCCCCAGGUCCUCACCUGCCCCAACGCCUCCUUCACGGACCUUGCUGAGAUAGUAUCGCGUAUCGAGCCUGCCAAGGUGGCUGCUGGGGAUGAUGAGUCUGACUACCAGACUGAGUAUGAGGAGGUGCUGCUGGGAGGCUCCAAGGACGCGUACGCUGACUUCCAAGGCGCCCCAGCCGACCAGGGCUCCGACUUGGAGGAUGAGCCCUCACUUCGGCAUCAGCACUGAGGUCUGGCUUCCCCUCAAAUACCCGAGGACUCCUCAGCACCCCAGCUCUCUGACUAAAAUGGGGAGAAGUUUCCACCCUGAAGCCAGCACCUCCCGUGGCUCCGUCUCAGAGUGCCUAGCUCCUGCAGCUCUUCCAGCCUGCCAGGGAGACCCGCUGGGGCCCAGUGUGGAGUGUCACUCUGGGGCCACUCUGCCCUGGCCUCUCCUGGAGGGCCACUGGCCCUGGCAUCCCCUGCACACGCAGCAGUCGUCAGGGCUGUGUCAGCCCUUGUGGCCUCUCGUGCUGGAGCCCUCGUGUUUCUGCUUUGCCUAUCAAUAAAGGCAGAUCUGAUUAUGCGGGA